AACGCGAAGAACCUUACCUACCCUUGACAUGCCAGGGAGCCCGAUGAGAGUCGGGUGUGCCCGAAAGGGAGCCUGGACGCAGGUGCUGCAUGGCUGUCGUCAGCUCGUGUCGUGAGAUGUUGGGUUAAGUCCCGCAACGAGCGCAACCCUUGUCACUAGUUGCCACGCUAAGGGCACUCUAGUGAGACUGCCGGUGACAAACCGGAGGAAGGUGGGGAUGACGUCAAGUCCUCAUGGCCCUUAUGGGUAGGGCUUCACACGUCAUACAAUGGCGCAUACAGAGGGUUGCCAACCCGCGAGGGGGAGCCAAUCCCAGAAAGUGCGUCGUAGUCCGGAUUGUUCUCUGCAACUCGAGAGCAUGAAGUCGGAAUCGCUAGUAAUCGCGGAUCAGCAUGUUGCGGUGAAUACGUUCCCGGGUCUUGUACACACCG
RNAcentral lists this ribosomal RNA (431 nucleotides) under uncultured bacterium. RNAcentral describes it as "bacterial SSU rRNA". It matches the Rfam family "Bacterial small subunit ribosomal RNA", at positions 958 to 1392 of the family's 1533-position model. The record is from RNAcentral.